UAUCGGCGACCGGGCCCCUCUGGCAGGACGCAACCGCGACUGCGAUGUCGGAGCCGAUGC
Non-coding RNA from Microvirga aerilata, 60 nucleotides. The record is from Rfam. Lineage: Bacteria; Pseudomonadati; Pseudomonadota; Alphaproteobacteria; Hyphomicrobiales; Methylobacteriaceae.